GGCGUGGAGUACAGGUCAGAGUGGAUACUUAGAGCUUUGAAGUUCCAAGUUGCCGAGGAGGCGUGUGGGGCUGACGUUUAAAUUGCCGAAGAGAGUGAGCAGCUUUGCUUCAGCAAAUCUUCGCAAACGUCUGCCUUUUGACUUGAGUGGUCAAGUAGACUGGCCGUGGCAAGACUGGCCUACGGCUGAGGUGAUUUGAGCGAGCGCGAGAGGGGCGCGCCAUGUUCGCCCCCCGCUCGGGCUGGGGAUUCGGCUGCCUCUGGCUGAACCAGCUCCGAGUUGGGGCCGGCGGAGCUCCCGGGCGCUGGGCUUGUUUGGCUGGCCCGGCCCGGCGGUACCGCUCCUGUGGGGGUGAGCGCCCGCUCGAGUCCGAGCCCGCGGUCUCUCCUCCAGGCCUCGCGCGUCAGACUCUGAAGGAGUGGGCGCUGCUGGUGAGCCCGUUCGGUCGGCUGCGGGCGCAGCUUCCGUGCCAUUUGGCUGUGAGGCCCCUGGACCCCCUCACCUACCCGGACGGAGACCGCGUGCUCGUCGCGGUGAGAGCAGCGGAGGGCGGGGCGCGGGACCUGGCUGGCCUGCAGGUGAAGUACGACGAGGUGCUGAAGGAGGUAGCCAUCGUGUCUGACACCAUCGACCCCCAGGUGUCCGUGGAGGUGAACGCGCCCCUGAAGUUUGAUUUGAAUAUCAAGUCAUUAGGGUCUGGCUGUGUAAAAGUCCAAAAUAUUGAGUGUGAUAACUGCAAAAUUGAAACUGAGCAGGGGACUGGCAUCUUACAGUCUGUUAAGAGUCAGAAAUUACAUGUUCAAACAAAAGGAGGCAAAGUGAUCUGUCUGGGAUCAGUUUAUGGAAAUAUAGAUAUUCAUGCAUCAGAUAAAAGUACUGUGACUAUAGAUAAACUGCAAGGAAGUACUGUUAAUAUAUCUACUGAACAUGGUUUGCUGGAAGCCAAGUAUCUUUAUACAGAAUCGUCAUUUCUAUCUUCUGCUGCUGGAGAUAUUACAUUAGGAAGUGUUCAUGGUAAUAUAACAUUACAAAGCAAGAUGGGUAAUAUCACAGUAGAUUCAUCCUCUGGAUGUCUAAAGGCCUCAACUCAUCUGGGUGCAAUAGAUGUUUAUGUCAGCCAACUAGGGAAAGUGGAAUUGAAGUCACAUGAAGGCUCUAUUCUUGUCAAGGUCGCAUCUUCUCUUCAAGCUCAUUUACAGUUAUCAGGGAAAGAGGUUGAUGUAAACUCAGAAGUCCAUGUUCAAGAAAUGACUGAAGUUCAUAAAGAUGAUGGUGUCAUAAUUACUGCCUGCAGAAGAGAACCAGACCUUCAGGGAUUGGUCAAGAAUUCUCAUUUUGAACACUCCACAGGUUACUUCACUCCACAGGUUACUUCAUCAGGGAAAAAAAAUGAAGCUGGAAGAAGUAAUUAAAACCAGAUCCUAAGUCAGUACAUCUGAGACUCCAGACACUUAAUGUGCAUGUGCUGUGGUUUCCAGUAAAACACCAAAAUGAGAGAGAAACAGCGUGCACGCACAGAAGCAGGAGAGUGGCAGGAAGGCCGAGAGAAGAAGGCUCCUCACUGAGCAAGAAGCCCAAUGCAGAACUUGAUCGCAAGACCCUGGGAUCAUGACCUGAGCCAAAGGUAGAUGCUUUGGCAUCUGAGCCACCCAGGUGUCCCUCUAUAUGUGUUUUCUAAAUCAUAAAAAUAUCAUUAGGAUUGACACAGCCAAUUCAGGAAACUAACAGUAUUGACAAAAACCAAACUGACACGUACUUCACGGCCCACAUUCAACUCUUGUGUUGUAUACCCAAUACAAGUGUCUGCUGUAUACACAGAAGGACAUGUGCAUGAAUGUUAAGAGAACCACAAAUGAGCCUAGACUUAUGCCCUGCAACCUCAGGAAAAACAGAAUUCAUUUUUCCCAGUGUUGACUAUCUAGAAGGAUUCUGAAUGGUUCUGGUAGGGUCCUCCCCUCCUGGAAAAAUCACAGCCACUGCAGACAGAAUUUAGGAUUGUCUAGGCCUGGAUCAAAUGACUCAGUGGCCAUAGGAAAAUCCUAAUGGUUCCCAAGCAUUUACUAUAUGAAGCCACUGUUCUAAGCACGUUAUAUGUAUGAAAUCAUUUCAUUUACACAACACACUUAUGAGGUAGGUACUAGUAUUUUCCACAUUUCAUAGAUACAGAACAGAGGUAUACAGAAAGCUUGGGGAACAUGCCCCAGUCUCCUAACCAGUAAAGGGCAAACUCAGGAUCACAAUGCAAAUGCCCCAGGACCCAGGCUCCCAAAUGCUAUCAUGUGCUGCUCUCAAGGUGCCAUGAGUGACAGCUCUGCAGAGCCACAAGAGAAAGGGGAGAGGUGGUUCUGAAGCAAAGUAUGAGGUGUAAAGGAAAAACUACCAACAUCUCAUAACACAGUUCAUUACUUUCACUAUUUAACUAAACAUGAAUCCAAAUAUUCAGUAAGCAUCUGAUAAAUGUCUGCCAUGAGGUUAGAGCACACACCAUUUUUCAGAGCAGAGAACAAAAUGGACCCAUUCGCUGUCCCCAAAUGUCUCCCUGACCCUAGAUAACAAAGAACCACAGGAAAGGGU
RNA transcript from Ailuropoda melanoleuca (giant panda), 2574 nucleotides. It is a transcript of the gene named family with sequence similarity 185 member A, with no coding region annotated. The transcript is spliced from 10 exons. NCBI's taxonomy places the organism in Eukaryota, Metazoa, Chordata, Mammalia, Carnivora, Ursidae. The record is from RefSeq and is a predicted model, not a curated record.